AUGCAGUGGCGCACACACACUACCCGGCCUAAACCAUUAAUGGAGCUCCUUGUGCUCCUUGCCGUCUUUGUCUUGGGCUUGUCUGUUUUGAUCCGUCGUAGCAGCCGGCGUGCCCCUGCACCUCCAGCUCCGGUCGUCCUCCACAAGAUCAGCGACCCUGCCGUCGCCCACCGCUUGCUCGUCGACGACGCCGACGCCUUCUCGAACCGCCCGGUGCUGCCCUUUUUCGUGGAGCUGGCCAAGAGGCGCGGUGGCCAACGCAAUGAGAACAUAAGCACGGUGCCCCACGGCCCGCACUGGCGUGCUCUUCGGUGCAACAUCACCGCCGAGACCCUCCACCCGUCGCGCCUCGGGCUUGGGCACAUCGCGCCGCUGCAGCGAGAGGCCAUCCAGGACCUCGUCGCCGCCCUGCAGUCCACCGGCGCCGGGGCAGGCCUCCGGGACAACCUCCGGGCCGCCGUCUUCCGGGUCAUCGCGCGCCUGUGCUUUGGGGACGGAGUCGACGAGUGCCAUGUGCGUGCCGUUUGCUCCCAGGUACAUGGCUUACAGGUCGCCAUCGGAGAGGUCAACCCCUUUUCUGGCCCCUCCAUGCUAGCCAAGCUCGCGGAGUGGAGGUACCAGCGCCAACUCUUGGCCUUUCAUGCCCGGAUCACCGAGCUGUGCCUCCCUCUCAUCGCGGCACGGCGGCGACGACCACACGACGACGACCUGUGUCGUCCGUACGUCGACACACUCAUACAACUCCGCGUCCCCGACGACAAGCACGGCGGCCGGCGGGCUCUUAGCGACGACGAGAUAGUGGACCUCGUGUUGGAGUUCCUCGGCGCGGGCUCAGGAUCGUUGGUGGUGUGCCUCGAAUGGACUCUCGCUCACCUCGUAGUCCAGCCGGAGGUCCAGAAAAAGCUCCGCCAUGAGGUCGACGGCGAGGCCGCUGAUAGGAGCCAGCUGAUCCGUGGCAUGCCGUACCUGCACGCCGUGAUCCUUGAGAGCCUCCGCAUGCACCCGCCGGCACCGGUGGCCCUGCGCCACGUCCAGGCCGACGCGGCUGCCGCUGCGACACUCGUGGGGGGAGGUACAACCAGCGCCGUGACUGUGCUUUUCCUCCUGGGGGACAUGGGAAGGGACAGGAAGGCGUGGAAGGACCCGGACGAGUUCCUGCCAGAGCGGUUCCUGGCCGGCGGCGACGCCGAGGGCGUCGGCCCUCUGCCGGGGCGCAAGGAGACGAGCAUUAUUGUAUCUAUACCAUGGUUUUGGGUACCGGGCGAAAAAUUCGGUUACCGCUCGGUACCCGCAUUUCUCGCUACCACACGAGAAAGCUGCGUAUCGAGCAAAAAAAUUCGAAUUUUUUGA
Molecule: ribosomal RNA, 1350 nt
Filed under: Triticum aestivum (bread wheat)
Lineage: Eukaryota; Viridiplantae; Streptophyta; Magnoliopsida; Poales; Poaceae
Description: partial small subunit ribosomal RNA
Source: RNAcentral